CUUUCGCUUUAGAAAACUCUGUACCUCAUGGGGAGAUGGCUGACAUUAGGGAUAAAUGCGACUGGAGAUGAGUCAGCUGCAAAGGGAGGAGAGGACUGCUCAAGUAACUUGCUGGAGAAAGAGAAAAUAUCAUUUGAGAUUCAAGGAAAAGGAGUGUAUUAAUGAGCUCAUUAAUAGUUCUAGAGAAGACUGGAAGGUAUGGCCACUCAACUUCAUCCAUCAGUCGUACACCUGCUGCUGUCAACACGAAAUGGUGCUACACCACCAGAACGGGAUAUGA
This 280-nucleotide long non-coding RNA is filed under the name Cairina moschata (Muscovy duck). RNAcentral's name for it is "domestica (muscovy Duck (domestic type)) lncRNA (ENSCMMG00000003930.1)". Lineage: Eukaryota; Metazoa; Chordata; Aves; Anseriformes; Anatidae. The record is from RNAcentral.